UGAGGAAUAUUGGUCAAUGGGCGCAAGCCUGAACCAGCCAUGCCGCGUGCAGGAUGAAGCAUCUAUGGUGUGUAAACUGCUUUUGUACGGGAAGAAACCACCCCUCGUGAGGGGUAUUGACGGUACCGUAAGAAUAAGGAUCGGCUAACUCCGUGCCAGCAGCCGCGGUAAUACGGAGGAUCCAAGCGUUAUCCGGAAUCAUUGGGUUUAAAGGGUCCGUAGGCGGGCUCGUAAGUCAGUGGUGAAAUCUCAUAGCUUAACUAUGAAACUGCCAUUGAUACUGCGAGCCUUGAGUAAGGUAGAGGUAGCUGGAAUAAGUAGUGUAGCGGUGAAAUGCUUAGAUAUUACAUGGAAUACCAAUUGCGAAGGCAGGUUACUACUAAUGGAUUGACGCUGAUGGACGAAAGCGUGGGGAGCGAACA
RNAcentral lists this ribosomal RNA (422 nucleotides) under uncultured bacterium. Its description in RNAcentral is "bacterial SSU rRNA". It matches the Rfam family "Bacterial small subunit ribosomal RNA", at positions 355 to 774 of the family's 1533-position model. The record is from RNAcentral.